GACGAACGCUGGCGGCGUGCCUAAUACAUGCAAGUAGAACGCACAGUUUAUACCGUAGCUUGCUACACCAUAGACUGUGAGUUGCGAACGGGUGAGUAACGCGUAGGUAACCUGCCUGGUAGCGGGGGAUAACUAUUGGAAACGAUAGCUAAUACCGCAUAAUAUUGAUUAUUGCAUGAUAAUUAAUUGAAAGGUGCAAUUGCACCACUACCAGAUGGACCUGCGUUGUAUUAGCUAGUAGGUGAGGUAACGGCUCACCUAGGCGACGAUACAUAGCCGACCUGAGAGGGUGAUCGGCCACACUGGGACUGAGACACGGCCCAGACUCCUACGGGAGGCAGCAGUAGGGAAUCUUCGGCAAUGGACGAAAGUCUGACCGAGCAACGCCGCGUGAGUGAAGAAGGUUUUCGGAUCGUAAAGCUCUGUUGUAAGAGAAGAACGGGUGUGAGAGUGGAAAGUUCACACUGUGACGGUAUCUUACCAGAAAGGGACGGCUAACUACGCG
RNAcentral lists this ribosomal RNA (505 nucleotides) under uncultured bacterium. RNAcentral describes it as "partial 16S ribosomal RNA". It matches the Rfam family "Bacterial small subunit ribosomal RNA", at positions 28 to 507 of the family's 1533-position model. The record is from RNAcentral.